ACUCAAAGGAAUUGACGGGGGCCCGCACAAGCAGCGGAGCGUGUGGUUUAAUUCGAGGCUACACGAAGCACCUUACCUGGGCUUGACAUGCUGGUAGUAGGGAAGGGAAACCGGACCGACCUUCGGGAGCCAGUGCAGGUGCUGCAUGGCUGUCGUCAGCUCGUGUCGUGAGAUGUUCGGUUAAGUCCGAAAACGAGCGCAACCCCUGGGGCAGGUUACAGGUAUCGUGCCCGACUGCCCGGGAGAACCGGGAGGAAGGUGGGGAUGACGUCAAGUCAGCAUGGCCUUGAUGUCCAGGGCGACACACACGCUACAAUGGCGGGGACAAUGGGUAGCCAAAGGGUGACCUGGAGCCAAUCCCGCAAACCCCGUCGUAGUUCGGAUUGCAGGCUGCAACCCGCCUGCAUGAAGCUGGAGUUGCUAGUAACCGCACGUCAGCACAGUGCGGUGAAUACGUUCCCGGGCCUUGUACACACCGCCCGU
RNAcentral lists this ribosomal RNA (483 nucleotides) under uncultured bacterium. RNAcentral describes it as "partial 16S ribosomal RNA". It matches the Rfam family "Bacterial small subunit ribosomal RNA", at positions 899 to 1397 of the family's 1533-position model. The record is from RNAcentral.